AGCGAACGCUGGCGGCAGGCUUAACACAUGCAAGUCGAGCGGGCAUCCUUGUGGUGUCGGCGGCAGACGGGUGAGUAACGCGUGGGAACGUGCCCUUCGGUUCGGAAUAACUCAGGGAAACUUGAGCUAAUACCUGAUACGCCCUUUUGGGGAAAGGUUUACCGCCGAAGGAUCGGCCCGCGUCUGAUUUGCUAGUUGGUGGGGUUAUGGCCCACCGAGGCGACGAUCAGUAGCUGGUCUGAGAGGAUGAUCAGCCACACUGGGACUGAGACACGGCCCAGACUCCUACGGGAGGCAGCAGUGGGGAAUAUUGGACAAUGGGGGCAACCCUGAUCCAGCCAUGCCGCGUGAGUGAUGAAGGCCUUAGGGUUGUAAAGCUCUUUUCCCCGGGACGAUAAUGACGGUACCGGAGGAAUAAGCCCCGGCUAACUUCGUG
Molecule: ribosomal RNA, 436 nt
Filed under: uncultured bacterium
Lineage: Bacteria
Description: partial 16S ribosomal RNA
Rfam family: Bacterial small subunit ribosomal RNA
Source: RNAcentral